Molecule: ribosomal RNA, 102 nt
Filed under: Sinocyclocheilus rhinocerous
Lineage: Eukaryota; Metazoa; Chordata; Actinopteri; Cypriniformes; Cyprinidae
Source: RNAcentral
UAUACAGUCAUAAAUACUGGUCGCCCACUGAAGCUAAGCAGGGUUGAGCCUGGUCAGUACCUGGAUGGGAGACCUCCUGGGAAAACUAGGUUGCUGCUGGAA